Molecule: ribosomal RNA, 429 nt
Filed under: uncultured bacterium
Lineage: Bacteria
Description: bacterial SSU rRNA
Rfam family: Bacterial small subunit ribosomal RNA
Source: RNAcentral
UGGGGAAUCUUGCGCAAUGCGCGAAAGCGUGACGCAGCAACGCCGCGUGGGGGAAGAAUGCCUUCGGGUUGUAAACCCCUUUCAGGAGGGACGAAGGUUCACCCGGUGAAUAGCCGGGAGGACUGACGGUACCUCCACAAGAAGCUCCGGCUAACUACGUGCCAGCAGCCGCGGUAAUACGUAGGGGGCAAGCGUUGUCCGGAAUCAUUGGGCGUAAAGCGCGCGUAGGCGGCCCGAUAAGUCUGCUGUGAAAGUCCAGGGCUCAACCCUGGAAUGCCGGUGGAUACUGUCGGGCUAGAGUUCGGAAGAGGCAAGUGGAAUUCCUGGUGUAGCGGUGGAAUGCGCAGAUAUCAGGAGGAACACCUAUAGCGAAGGCAGCUUGCUGGGACGACACUGACGCUAAGGCGCGAAAGCGUGGGGAGCGAACAG